Molecule: long non-coding RNA, 412 nt
Organism: Brassica rapa (field mustard)
Lineage: Eukaryota; Viridiplantae; Streptophyta; Magnoliopsida; Brassicales; Brassicaceae
Source: RefSeq, a predicted model, not a curated record
AUAAAAAGUUAAAAAGAAUAUUUGAAACACAAUCCAAAUAUUUAGAGAUCAAAAAUGGCUAUCACAAAAAAAACUUUAAUCACAUUUGUUUUUACCAUCAUUUUUCUCGUAUCUUCUGUUCAUUGUCUUACUACAGCUAGCGCUGUUACUCCGGAUAAUGGUUAUGGAGAAAUUAAGUCAGAGAUUUGCAUCAGCUCCAUGUCACCGUGUACUUGGGUAGUGCGACGAUAUUCCACUCCGGACGCACUAUGUAACCAAAUGUGUAUGAGAGGUAAAAACAAGCCCGGACAUUGUGUUAAUAGAAAAUGUUGUUGUAUUUUUUAAGUACAUGUCUAAGAUGAAAUCAUCUUAGCAUAUGUUUUUAAAUAUCUAUAACAGAAGAUCUAGAACAAAAUAAACAAUAUUUACCAGA